Molecule: long non-coding RNA, 341 nt
Organism: Cydia fagiglandana
Lineage: Eukaryota; Metazoa; Arthropoda; Insecta; Lepidoptera; Tortricidae
Exons: 2
Source: RefSeq, a predicted model, not a curated record
AUUGAUUUUACGCUGACUGUUGCCGGUGGCUACAUCACCGUUCCUGAUAAAACUUCUAGACCAGGAAGAAAGCUAGUGGGCGAAUUAUACAACGUGUGCAAUAUACCCCACUCGAAACCUAGAUUAACUCCAGCACCUAAGUCACAUGAUAUCACACCAAACUUUGCUAUGCUUCAUAUCGACUGUCCUAGCAACAUCCCCGGCUGUAAUAAACUUGAGCUUCAUGUGUCACAGUAUUGGGAAAUGGUCACUGCACCUCAUUAAGUAUUUGAGAGACAGUCAAAAUUAUUGUGAUGAGAAUUGGAUUCUUGUCUCUGAUUAAAAAUGUAAACAUUACAUAA